RNAcentral lists this ribosomal RNA (253 nucleotides) under uncultured bacterium. Its description in RNAcentral is "partial 16S ribosomal RNA". It matches the Rfam family "Bacterial small subunit ribosomal RNA", at positions 524 to 776 of the family's 1533-position model. The record is from RNAcentral.
UACGGGGGGGGCAAGCGUUGUUCGGAAUUACUGGGCGUAAAGGGUUCGUAGGUGGCCAACUAAGUCAGACGUGAAAUCCCUCAGCUUAACUCGGGAACUGCGCUUGAUACUGUCGAGCUAGAGUGUGGAAGGGGCGAUUGGAAUUCCGUGUGUAGCGGUGAAAUGCGUAGAUAUACGGAGGAACACCAGAGGCGAAGGCGGAUCGCUGGGCCAACACUGACGCUGAUGUGCGAAAGCUAGGGGAGCAAACGGG